Molecule: ribosomal RNA, 428 nt
Filed under: uncultured bacterium
Lineage: Bacteria
Description: bacterial SSU rRNA
Rfam family: Bacterial small subunit ribosomal RNA
Source: RNAcentral
UGAGGAAUCUUCCGCAAUGGGCGCAAGCCUGACGGAGCAACGCCGCGUGGAGGAUGACGGCCUUCGGGUUGUAAACUCCUUUUCUAUGGGACGAGGUAUACGGACGGUACCAUAGGAAGAAGUCUCGGCUAACUACGUGCCAGCAGCCGCGGUAAUACGUAGGAGACGAGCGUUGUCCGGAGUUACUGGGCGUAAAGGGUGCGCAGGCGGCUUCGCGCGUGUGCGGUGAAAUCUCCUGGCUCAACUGGGAGGGUGCCGUGCAGACGGCGGAGCUUGAGGGUCGGAGAGGGGCGUGGAAUUCCGGGUGGAGCGGUGAAAUGCGUAGAGAUCCGGAGGAACACCGACGGCGAAGGCAGCGCCCUGGCCGACAUCUGACGCUCAGGCACGAAAGCUGGGGGAGCAAACAGGAUUAGAUACCCCUGUAGUCC